Molecule: unclassified non-coding RNA, 168 nt
Filed under: uncultured Sistotrema
Lineage: Eukaryota; Fungi; Basidiomycota; Agaricomycetes; Corticiales; Corticiaceae
Description: sequence contains ITS1
Source: RNAcentral
AUGAAUUGAAGAGAGUUGAUGCUGGUGGUCUUGUGACUGCAUGUGCUCGCUCUCCUAAUCCAAUUUACACCUGUGCACUUAACUUUGAAGGGAGGGUAAAACCUGCCUUCGAAAUCUUAAACUCUUAUAUAUAACGAAUGUUUAUCUGCCGCAAGGCAAAAUUAAAUA